This is a long non-coding RNA of Populus trichocarpa (black cottonwood), 594 nucleotides long. RefSeq lists it as uncharacterized. The record is from RefSeq and is a predicted model, not a curated record. The transcript has 2 exons. Lineage: Eukaryota; Viridiplantae; Streptophyta; Magnoliopsida; Malpighiales; Salicaceae.
AGUAAAGUAUUGUAAAACAAAAAAUAUAUAUAUUGUUGUCUGCACCCUUCCUCUUCGCUGCCUCUCCUCUUUUACGCCUUGGGCUCAAAUUCUAACAGUGAAGAGAGAUCAACAAGUUUUCAAUCUCCAGAUCUGCGCUCCAAAGCCCUCUCUUUCUUCUCAAAGACAUGGAUCUGAAGUUUAAGCCAUCGCUCACAACCAAACCACUGUUAAUUUUUCAAUCUUAAAUCUGCCAUGGAGAGUCACCCGGGUCUUGUCCGGGUCACCCGGGUCAUGGGUUGACCCGCCGGGUUGACCGGGUUUUGCCGGGUCGUUGCACCGGCCGGUCUUUUGACAAACCCGAACCGGUCCAGCCACCGGGUCGACCGGGUCCCGGGUCGACCCGCCGGGCCGGUCCGGGUUUAAUAACUAUAAAUGGAACUCUUCCCCGCCCAACCCAUGAAAGAGUGGAUGCUUCGCAAAUAAUUGUUCUCUCUUUUAUCAUGGUGGUACAACAAAAUCGCAUUCAAAACUAGUUAUUUAAACCAAAAAAAGUAAAUAAAUAAACUAAACGAAUUAAGUAUUGCUGCCAACAGCCAAACUGGUUUUAUCUUA